This 406-nucleotide ribosomal RNA is filed under the name uncultured bacterium. Its description in RNAcentral is "partial 16S ribosomal RNA". It matches the Rfam family "Bacterial small subunit ribosomal RNA", at positions 30 to 526 of the family's 1533-position model. The record is from RNAcentral.
AUUGAACGCUGGCGGCAGGCUUUACACAUGCAAGUCGGACGAGUGGCGGACGGGUGAGUAAUGCCUCGGAACUUACCCAGUAGUGGGGGAUAACUCUUGGAAACGGUAGCUAAUACCGCAUACUAUUCGAGCGGCCGAGUUCGGAUUAGCUGGUUGGUGGGGUAACGGCUCACCAAGGCGACGAUCAGUAGCGGGUCUGAGAGGAUGAACAGCCACACUGGAACUGAGACACGGCCCAGACUCCUACGGGAGGCAGCAUUGGGGAAUAUUGCACAAUGGGCGCAAGCCUGAUCCAGCCAUGCCGCGUGUCUGAAGAAGGCCUUCGGGUUGUAAAGUACUUUAGGCAGGGAGGCGUUACCCGAAGAAUAAGCACCGGCUAACUACGUGCCAGCAGCCGCGGUAAUAC